Oncorhynchus tshawytscha (Chinook salmon) is the source of this 1687-nucleotide long non-coding RNA. Lineage: Eukaryota; Metazoa; Chordata; Actinopteri; Salmoniformes; Salmonidae. The record is from Ensembl.
GAAACACACACACACACACAUGCACGCAGACAGAAACACACACAGACACACUGACACACACACACACAUGCAUGCAGACAGAAACACACACACAUAUACACACACAUACACACACACACACACACACACACACACAUACACAUACACACGCAGACAGAAACACACACAGACACACACGCAGACAGAAACACACACACACACAUGCACGCAGACAGAAACACACACACACACAUGCACGCAGACAGAAACACACACACACACACACAUGCACGCAGACAGAAACACACACACACAUGCACGCAGACAGAAACACACACACAAAGACACACAGACACACAGACAGAAACACACACAUACAUAUACAUACACACACACAGACACACACACAGACACACACACAAGCAGGUAAGCAGGGAAUGUGGUGUUGUGGGGAAUGUGGUACUGUGGGGAAUGUGGUACUGUCGGGAAUGUGGUGUUGUGGGGAAUUUGGUACUGUAGAGAAAGUGGUAUUGUGGGGAAUGUGGUGUUGUGGGGAAUGUGGUACUGUAGAGAAGGUGGUAUUGUAGGGAAUGUGGUGUUGUGAGGAAUGUGUUAUCCAUAACAGAGAACAAGUUCAAGACCUCAGGGUCAAUCUCAUCCAACUGGUCAAUGGACAGGAAAUCAAAUCUCCAGCCAGCCACCUCAACAGGAAAUCAAAUCUCCAGCCAGCCACCUCAACAGGAAAUCAAACGUCCACCCAGCCAGCCACCUCAACAGGAAAUCAAACGUCCACCCAGCCACUUGAACAGGAAAUCAAACCUCCAGCCAGCCACCUCAACAGGAAAUCAAGCAUCUCAUCCAUACACCGGUUAAUGGGAACAUGUCAGACAACAUAGACAUACUGCUACCACAGUCAGAGAGUCAGUCCCUAUGUAAACUGAUGCAUGUUUAGUAUAGACAUUCUGCUACCACAGUCAGAGAGUCAGUCCGUAUGUAAACUGAUGCUGUUAAGGAUACUGUGGAUACGGCUGGGUUUCAGGUUCUUCCUGAAGUACAGCUGUUAGGUAUUAGGUCUGUCCAGUACUUAUGCAACUUUGAUUGAAUGCCUUUACCUGUACAGCACAGUAGAUCAUUCUGUAUGUUUACUAUAAACAUGUGUCACGUUCUGACCUUAGUUCUUUUGUUAUGUCUUUGUUUUAGGUUGGUCAGGGCGUGAGUUGGGGUGGGUUGUCUAUGUUCGUUUUUCUAUGAUUUGGUAUUUCUGUGUUUGUCCUGGUAUGGUUCUCAAUCAGAGGCAGCUGUCAAUCGUUGUCCCUGAUUGAGAACCAUAUUUAGGCAGCCUCUUUUCCCCCUUGAGUUGUGGGUGAUUGUUUUCUGUUGAGUGUUUUUUUUUUAAAUCUGUACCAGACAGAACUGUUUCGUUCAUUCACUUUGUUGUUUUUGUUCAGUGUUCAUUUACUUUAUUUAAAAGAUGGACACUUACCACGCUGCGCAUUGGUCCUCACCUUCUUCCACCACCAACGGCCGUUACAAUAUGGCUGGGAAUUUCCCUGAAGAAUAAGUGUUCUGGCAUUAAUAAGGCAGAGAAGUCUGCGAUUUGUUUGGAAUGUAACCCACCCUACAGUAAAAUGAUCUGGAUAAGAGUGUCUGCAAAAUGGCUGAAGAGUAAAUAGCGGACUUCACAUAAAACCAGUCUACUGUCAUGAAA